This 384-nucleotide long non-coding RNA is filed under the name Mytilus galloprovincialis (Mediterranean mussel). The record is from RNAcentral. Lineage: Eukaryota; Metazoa; Mollusca; Bivalvia; Mytilida; Mytilidae.
GUAGUUAUUGUUGCAAACUCCAUUAGAAAUUUUAAUUGAGAUUAGUUUUGGAAUAAGGGAAAGGGGAUGUGAUUAAAAAAAUUGGGUUCAAUUUUUCUCAUUUGAAAUUUCAUAAAUAAAAAAGAAAAUUUCUUCAAACAUUUUUUUGAGAGGAUUAAUAUUCAACAGCAUAGUGAAUUGCUCUAAGAGAAAACAAAAUUUUAAGUUCAUUAGAACACAUUCAUUCUGUGUCAGAAACCUAUGCUGUGUCAACUAUUUAAUCACAAUCCAAAUUUAGAGCUGAAUCCAGCUUGAAUGUUGUGUCCAUACUUGCCCCAACCGUUCAGGGUUCAACCUCUGCGGUCGUAUAAAGCUACGCCCUGCGGAGCAUCUGGUUGAUAUUUG